Non-coding RNA from Acanthosepion pharaonis, 114 nucleotides. Lineage: Eukaryota; Metazoa; Mollusca; Cephalopoda; Sepiida; Sepiidae. The record is from the annotation of a GenBank genome assembly.
UUACGGUCACAUCGCGAAGAAACACCGGUCCCCGGUUGAUCACCGAAGUUAAGCAAUGUUGAGCUUGGUCAGUACUUAGAUGGGUGAUUGCUUGGGCAUACCAGGUGUUGUAAG